CGGGGGUAAAAAUAAAAUGUUUCCAUCCCCAGCCAAUCCCUGGAAAGGCAGAAGGGCACUCCUCCAAUGGGAGCCGGGGAGCCGUCGGUAGCGGCGUAGGCCCGUGCCCCUGCUCGCGCUGCAGCCCGUGGAAGGGUUCCGUCCAGCGUAUCCUUCAGAUCUUGCUGUAGGCCUCUGGUGUCUGUGCGCGCGCGGCAGGGGCGGCGGCGGCGACGGCCGGAGGUGUACGUUGCUUCCUCUACUGAAGUCUUGAAACCCCUGAAAGUCAUCCCUGAGGUUUGAAGUUAACUUCUUCUACACCCUGUUAAUGUUGAUAUUUUGACCUCCUUCCAUGAAUCACAAAUGUUCUUAAUGGCAUCUAGAAUGGUGAGUCCUUUCCAGAAGAUUUUCAAUUUACUUUUCCCGGAUCCAUCAGAGGAAUCACUGUCUAUGGCGGCUAUAGCCUUAUGAAAUGUAUUUCCUAAAUAAUAAGACCUGAAAGUCAAUAUUACUCCUUGAUCCAUGGGCUGCAGAAUGGAUGUUGUGUUAGCAGGCAUGAAAACAGCAUGAAUCUCCUUGUACAUCUCCAUCAGAGCUCUUAGGUGAUCAGGUGCAUUUUCAAUGAGCAGUAAUAUUUUGAAUGGAAUCUUUUUAUCUGAGUAGCAGGUCUCAACAGUGGGCUUAAAAUAUUUAAUAAACUAUGCUAUAAACAGAUUUGCUAUCAUCCAGGCUUUGUUGCUCCAUUUAUAGAGCACAGAGUAUAUUUAGCAUAGUUCUUAAGGAUCCUAGGAUUUUCAGAAUGGUAAAAUGAACACUGGCUUCAAGUUAAAAGUCACCAGCUGCCUGAGCCUCUAACAAGAGAGUCAUCCUGUCUUUUGAAGCUUUGAAGCCAGGCAUUGACUUCUUUCUAGCUAUAAAAGUCCUAGAUGGCAUCUUCUCCCCAUAUAACGCUGUUUCAGCUACACUGAAAAUCUGUUGGCCAGGUGCGGUGGCUCACGCCUGUAAUCUCAGCACUUUGGGAGGCUGAGGCGGACGGAUCACCUGAGGUUGGGAGUUCGAGACCAGGCUGACCAACAUGGAGAAACCCUGCCUCUACUAAAAAUACAAAAUUGGCUGGGUGUAGUGGCGCAUGCCUAUAACCCCAGCUACUCGGGAGGCUGAGGCAGGAGAAUCACUUGAACCUGGGAGGCAGAGGUUGCAGUGAGCUGAGAUGAUGCCAUUGCAUUCCAGCCUGGGCAAUAAGAGUGAAACUCCGUCUCAAAAAAAAAAAAGAAAAGAAAAAAAAGAAAAUCUGUUGGCCGGGUGCGGUGGCUCACGCCUGUAAUCCCAGCACUUUGGGAGGCAGAGGCGGGCGGGUCACAAGGUCAGGAGUUUGAGACCAGUCUGGCCAACAUAGUGAAACCCCGUCUCUACUAAAAGUACAAAAAUUGGCUGGGCGUGG
This 1420-nucleotide long non-coding RNA is filed under the name Homo sapiens (human). RNAcentral describes it as "HSALNT0282734". The record is from RNAcentral. Lineage: Eukaryota; Metazoa; Chordata; Mammalia; Primates; Hominidae.